This 165-nucleotide ribosomal RNA is filed under the name uncultured bacterium. RNAcentral's name for it is "partial 16S rRNA". It matches the Rfam family "Bacterial small subunit ribosomal RNA", at positions 355 to 511 of the family's 1533-position model. The record is from RNAcentral.
UAGGGAAUCUUCGGCAAUGGGGGGCAACCCUGACCGAGCAACGCCGCGUGAGUGAAGAAGGUUUUCGGAUCGUAAAACUCUGUUGUUAGAGAAGAACACGAGUGAGAGUAACUGUUCAUUCGAUGACGGUAUCUAACCAGCAAGUCACGGCUAACUACGUGUCAG